RNAcentral lists this ribosomal RNA (629 nucleotides) under Kaempferia rotunda. RNAcentral's name for it is "eukaryotic LSU rRNA". The stretch from base 215 to 370 matches the Rfam family "5.8S ribosomal RNA". The record is from RNAcentral. Lineage: Eukaryota; Viridiplantae; Streptophyta; Magnoliopsida; Zingiberales; Zingiberaceae.
GUGAACCUGCGGAAGGAUCAUUGUUGAGAGAGCACAGAACGAUGGAUGUUUGUGAAUGUAUGAAUGUGUCCCUUUCCUCGCCCCCCACGUCGGCGGGCGGUUGACCGUAGCUCAGUGCGAUCAGCACUAAGGAACAAUGAACUCGGAAGCGGAGGGCCCCCUUGGCGUGCUCAGGGAGCCCAAUGCGUCGGAGAUUCUUCGGAAUCAAUCAAAUGACUCUCGGCAAUGGAUAUCUCGGCUCUUGCAUCGAUGAAGAACGUAGUGAAAUGCGAUACUUGGUGUGAAUUGCAGAAUCUCGUGAACCAUUGAGUCUUUGAACGCAAGUUGUGCCCGAGGCCUUCUGGCCGAGGGCACGCCUGCUUGGGAGUCAUGGCAUUGCCGCCUUUGCACCACCACCAUGUAAUGAAUGCUGGUGCCGAACGCGUAAAUUGGCCCCGUGUGCCCUCGGGCACAGUCGGUUGAAGAGCGGGCAGUCGCCAAUCGUCGGGCACGAUGGGUGUUGGUCGCGGUGAGCGGGAACAGAACAUCGUCCCCGUCGUAUUGGGAUGAGUGUCCCCAAGAGACCCUGUGUGAUUGUGGCGGCGUCCGGCGAAAAUGCCGCGCCGUCCAUCAACUUGUGGCCCCAAGUC